ACCCUCUAAACAACACGAACCUCCCAAAAAUUAGUAAACUAACGAUACUUAUGUCCUUGGGAUUAAGGGAGUAGCUAAAGAGGCAAGGAACAAAAAACAAUCGGUCUUUAAGUCGGAUACACCAUGCAGUACAAUUUUAUAUAUCUGUUAUGUUAAUUUGAUUAUCUC
Macadamia integrifolia is the source of this 168-nucleotide long non-coding RNA. RefSeq lists it as uncharacterized. NCBI's taxonomy places the organism in Eukaryota, Viridiplantae, Streptophyta, Magnoliopsida, Proteales, Proteaceae. The record is from RefSeq and is a predicted model, not a curated record. The transcript has 2 exons.